This is a long non-coding RNA of Oncorhynchus tshawytscha (Chinook salmon), 351 nucleotides long. Lineage: Eukaryota; Metazoa; Chordata; Actinopteri; Salmoniformes; Salmonidae. The record is from Ensembl.
UCUACUAUGGUCUACUAUACUCUAGUCUCUACUCUGGUCUACUCUGCUCUAGUCUCUUCUCUGGUCUACUCUGCUCUAGUCUCUACUCAACUCUCUACUCAACUCUACUUUACUCUAUACUGAUUCUAAGGGGUUGGGUUAAAUGCGGAAGACACAUUUUAGGUGAAUGCAUUCAGUUGUACAACUGACUAGGUAUCCCCCUUUCCCUAUACAACUGACUAGGUAUCCCCCUUUCCCUAUACAACUGACUAGGUAUCCCCCUUUCCCUAUACAACUGACUAGGUAUCCCCCUUUCCCUAUACAACUGACUAGGUAUCCCCCUUUCCCUAUACAACUGACCAGGUAUCCCCC